UAUAAGUACAACCGUAGUUUCUAUUCAUGAAGACCCGGGAAUUAAAAACAGUUUCACUCCAUAUCAUCAGAGCUGCCACAUUCUCACCCUCCCCUGAAGAGAUUCAAUGACAGGUCUGAGGGCAUUAGCUUGACUCUUGGAGCAGCUGGGGCCCCUGAGGCUCAGGCAUGAAGUCGGAGCAGGUGAGGGCAGCCUGUGGAGGCCUCCAGAGGUUCUCUGCAUUAACUGCGGCUUCUGCCCAGUUUAAACAGAAGAUUAUUGAACUGGAAGCAGCAGCCGAUUGCUGUUUGCAGUAUCUUUACAGCUCCAAGUGGCCCACAGACAAUUUGUGCAAGAUGGCUGCAGGACACCAUCCCUGGUGCUCCCCUCAGAGGCCCAGGGUAGGAGGAAGCAAGGCCAUCUCCUCCGGGGCUCUCUCCAAAGAGCCAGGAGGGUUUUCUUAGGAGCAGCCUGGUAAACCUCUCGUUUCUCAUUGGCUGGAAGCCACGUUUCCAUGGAGCGCUCAGGUGGCCCUGAACUCUAUUCCAACCGCCUGCUCAACAUUUCAUCUUGGAUUUUAAGAAGUAGCUCAAAGACAGCAGAUCCGAAGCUGGGCUCUCAAUGCUUCUCCCUGCGAGCACCAGAGUGAUACUGGCUGGAUACUGGAUACAGAUGAGAUCGUUCCUUUGCUCACACCCUCCGAGAGUAAAAGCUAAAGUCUGUACAUUGACCUACAAGAGCCCUCUAUUUUUCUGCCACUAUUCUCCCCCACCCUCAUUCACUUCAGCUCCCACUGCCACCUUAUUGUUCCUCAAAUACAGUUAGCCACAUUCUUACCCCAGGACUUUUCCACAAGCUGUUUCACCUACCUGUGACACUUUCUCCUCAGCUUCCUUUCUAAUUUCUUUAGUAAGUAAACCUCUUUGCUAAAACAUCACCUUCCCAGCUGCCCUAUUUAAAAUUUUAUCCCCUCCUCAACUCCUGUUCCCUUCUGUUUAAUUUUUCUCAUCACUUAUUUCUUCUUAACAUGCUAUAUAUUUUACUUAUUUAUCUUAUUUCUUGAGUGUCUCCCUCAAUAGAUGUAAAUUCCAUAAUGGUUGAGAUUACCAUUUUUGUUUUAUUCACUGCUAUAUGCUGACAAUUUUGACCCAUGAAUGAAUGUUGAAUGAAUGAACUUAUCAGAUUAAGUAAAUAUGAAUGCCUUGGUUUUAGGCAGAUGAGUUGAAUCAGGACAUCUGGGAGUGGAGGUGGAUAUAUGUAGUUUUACAAACCUCCUAGGUGAUUUGGUGCUCAGGUGGUUUGGGACCCAUGGGUCUGAGGUAUUCUCUGACCAUCAGUAUCUGUUUAUUUGACCCCAUUAGUCUGUGUGCCCAUUUCACAUCGAUCUUGAAGGUAACUACGGCACAGACUAUUUAUCUCCUUUAUUAUAUUGACCAUCGUGGGCAAAAUCCUGUGAUUUAACAAAGGAAGGGAGAAUUCUGACCAAAGCAACUUAAAGAAAGCAGGAAAUUUGCUUUUCUUUUCACAGGGAGCAGUUCUCGUCAUGUCUGUGGGUUAUCAAGCUGAAGGCAUUUUCAAUGACACAAUGGAAUUAGUUCUGUAAUUACUUUUGCCACACAAACCGACAACUUCCUGGGGCUAUGAGUUUUAAUAAUAUUUUUCAGAUCACAUUUGUUCCUGUGGUCGCCGGGGGAGGCCAAAACAUUGAUUUAUUUCAGCAGGCUUGAACAUUUGUGUUUGGCCACGGCUGUUGUGCAGUUCACACACACACGCUCACAGCCUUCACAUCCUAGAGAAGGAGGGAUAAUUUCAUGCUAGGUUGCAAGAAGAGAGUGUCAGGUGUGCCCCUCUCUGGUUAGUUCUGGAUCUGUUUUGCUGCAUCCUCUUUUUCCCGAUCCCUACAAAGUUAAACCUUUACCAUGUAAAAUAGUCUUGUCAUGAGGGCUCCCCUCCCCUGGGCUGGGUCUACACUUGGCUCCCAGCCCUGCCUCCUCUCUGAAGUCAUGUUUGUGAAAAGGCAGCACUGUAGGAUGAAGAGCCCGUGCACCGAAUUUCUCCCUUCUCAUCCCUUCCCUAGUCUUCUCUGACGCUCACAAGGCCCCAGCAGGAAAAAGGUAGUGAAUUUGCCUCCAUUUCUUCCUGUGAAGACUCUAGGUGGAUGCUGGGUCUGAGGGAGAAGCUUGCUGUCAUCCCACGCUUUCUCAUCAGCUACAGAGAAUGAGAGCAAAGGAAAAGACGCUCCCCCCGGAAGCGAUGUGCACCCACAGGCUCGCCUCCCCAAACCUUCCUUUUUUGGCCAUUGUUGGGUCAGCUCUUCACCCACAACCAGAAAACAGACAUGGCACUUUAUUUUGUUCUGCCAAGAGUGUGCCUUUUUAUGAUUUCAUUAUAUCUCGGGUAUGUUAGAAGAGGCUCCAUAAUCCUCACUCAUUUGAUGGAGAUGGGAGGAAGCCAGACUCCCCUCUCCUCUCUCUCCAAGUCUCCUUGCACUCCUUCCCCAUGAUGGAGUUUUCUCCCUCCCAGGCAUGUGAUGGGUACAGCUAGGAUAGCCUGUUGAUGGGCAGCCAGUUAAGUCAAGCCUCAGUGAUAUUUGGCUUAUGGGGUGGAAAGGAGGGCGCAAGAUUAUGGCAGGUUGUCCUAUGAGAAUGGCUCUCAUGCUGGGACUUUGUUCCUUCCACACGUCCAACCUUGGAUGUGGGAUUGGGGAAGGUGUGUGUGUGUGUAUGCGCAUGUGUGUAAGAGGAAAGUGCACAGAAAAUCUCAUGCCCCCUCUCCUAAUUCCCACACUCAGGUCAUGGCUUCAGCACUUCCUUCCCCAUACUCUUUCCAGAGAAUGACACAUCUGAGCUCUCCCCUUAGCAUCUAUCCAGGCUCACAGACAAGCCUACAUCACUUUCUCAGAAUUUUGUUUUGACAAGUUUUGAGGAACGAGGAGACUUAGCUUUUGCCUUCUUCUUCUCUUGGCUUCCUUGAUCGUGGCAACAUUUGCUUGAUUGGUUCAGAUUCCUCCAUUGUCUAAUGUGUGAACUGCUCUAACGGUUUUUCAAAAGAAUGGAAUGGAAGGACAGGAACCAGAACCGAUUCUCUUGGAUACCUGGGAAAUUCUAGAGGCUAAGGCAUUUUCUGGUUAUUGCUUUGUGCAAAAUAUAGAAGUUAAUCUGCUAGUUGAAGUUUUUGUUUUUUUAACAAGAUGUUGGUGAUGAUGAAUCGAUUUAUUAAUAUGAGGCUUUGAAAUUACAGUGCUUUUUACAGACCUCAUGCAUCUAUAUUGUCUCCCCAAAGGCAAAGAAACUGGCAAUUGACUGUACAUCUAUUCAAAUGAUACUAUUACAUUUCCAUUCCAAAAGUGUUCUUCUGGCAUUGCGCUGUUCAUCAUUUGACAGAUGUUCCUAGGGUAAAUCACUGUAAAAUGAAGAAAGGCUGAGGGCACAGAAACUGCCAAAUUGAUAAGAAUCCUGUGAUGUUGCUGCAUUCUGUUCAACUUAUGAUUCAGAAUUUGAACAAGAGCAUACGCGGGUUUAUUAAUCAUGGUGAAAGUGACAAAUUGCCAGACUUUAACAUUAGAAACCUUUGUUUUAGACGUUAUUUUAUGAUUUUGACAAGGCUGAGGAUUCAAAAACUGCUUUAUUCGAUUUCU
This is a long non-coding RNA of Equus caballus (horse), 3616 nucleotides long. Lineage: Eukaryota; Metazoa; Chordata; Mammalia; Perissodactyla; Equidae. The record is from Ensembl.